CUGGAAACCUGGAGCAAACACGUGCGAUUCGCUUUGCACACUGUUUUCUUUCGUUCCAAGCUUGCUGGAUUACAAAAGGUUUUUCGUAGAUAUUCUGGAAAAAACUUGUUGAAACUCAAGCGUGGAGAGAGACGAUGGGUGUGCAAGUAUGGAAAAACCUCAAGGAACAGAUAAUGCAUGUGCAAUUUCAAACCUUUGUAACGAUACCUUUUCCAAAAAAGCCUCAAGUCAAAAUCAAGGGAGAAAUCAUUCGAUACAUCCAUAAUGUAUCCCCAGUACAUAAAAAUGAAAAGUACUUUGUCUUAAUAUUCAACAAAAGGAUAAGAUAGUCAAAGGGGUUUGCUUUUUACCACCUAAAAUGAAGCGCUUCUUGGAAUUUGAUACAAAUCGAUCUCCAGUCAUCCUGAAGAAGUGCCGCAAGGACACAAAGUCAAAUACGGAGGAUUAUCUCAUGAGAGAAGAUGUAAUGAUAGAUCACUUUCCUGAGAUAGACUUCCAAAGGUCAGAAAUGCCUAAAACAAUCAACAUUUCUGCCCUCAACACAUUGUGCGCUGGACAAAUGGUCACACUCAAAGCCAAAGUUAGAUACCUUUAUCCACCAAAGGAAAUUGGCUCGGAAGGCAAACAACUGCAAAAUGCCCGUUUGGUAGACCCAUCAGGAAUGGUGAAACUCACCUUGUGGAAGCCGUUUCUGAAUACUUUGAAAGAAGCAACACUUAUGACUUUUGCAACCUGAAGUUAUACAAAAACAAGUACAGCUCAAAUGAACUAGCACUAUCCACGGUUUCCAAAACCAAUAUCAAAGGAGUAGAGGCGUUUGAGGGAGCUUUGCCUGUGACUCAACAGCCCAAAGACAUAACUACUGGGGAGAUGGCAGCCUACCUAUAUUGCAUAAGUUGCAACAAGAAAAUAGAGGGCAAUCAAGGGAUUAUUUAGUUUCCAAAUUGCCAUACCAGACAAAAGCAAACUAGAUGCCCUAAUCACUGGUAUUCACAAGUUUUUUUCCAAAUCAGUGGUCCCAUCAAGAAAAAGAACACCCUAACGAUGUUUGAAGACACUCUAAAGCAAGCAGUAGCAGUUUCAGGAGAAAACGAAAACCACGAACGGAACCAGACGGUCCUAGCAAGAGAAACAUUCUACUAAACUUGCCUGAAGUUUCCAUAACAUACAACUUGCAGAGCAACGUUGUCUCAAGUAUUGCAGCUAGUAUUCCACAGCAAAAGUGAACACUAAUUAUAGCCAAGUUAUGAUAUAUAUUGAUGACUAGGACAACAUAUAUUCCAGGAAUUGACUUUUAAAAGUCAGAAAAGUAUUGUUUUAUGUUACAUGAGAUAAUCAGCAUGUUACCGGACAGUAAAGCCAUGUUAUUUAUAUAUAUACUUUAAAUAAACAAGUGAAAAAAAUCCUCAUUCUCCAGUUAUUUCUCUUCAUCUGUAUAUCCAAAAA
Molecule: long non-coding RNA, 1446 nt
Organism: Nematostella vectensis (starlet sea anemone)
Lineage: Eukaryota; Metazoa; Cnidaria; Anthozoa; Actiniaria; Edwardsiidae
Exons: 2
Source: RefSeq, a predicted model, not a curated record